Long non-coding RNA from Numida meleagris (helmeted guineafowl), 1088 nucleotides. RefSeq lists it as uncharacterized. The transcript is spliced from 4 exons. The record is from RefSeq and is a predicted model, not a curated record. Lineage: Eukaryota; Metazoa; Chordata; Aves; Galliformes; Numididae.
CUCCACUCCCUGUGAGGAGCUGCAGCCACCAUGAGGCCUCCCUUCAGCUCCUCUGCUCUGGGAUGAGCAAACCCAGGGGCCCCAGCCACUGCUCAUACAUCCUGCCCUCCAGACUCAUCACUAUAUUUGUGACCCUCCUUUGGACCCUCUCUAAUUAAUAUUUAUGCCCUUCGUAUGUUGUGGCACCCAGAUCAACACCCAGUGCUGGAGGUGUGGCUGCACUGGGAGAGGGAAGGACAACCCCUUCCCUCUCCCAGUGACAGUGCUGAGCCUGGUGCACCUCAGGGCACAGUUGGCCCUUUUGGGUGCCAGGGCACACUGCUGACUCACAUUCACCUUGCCAGCAACCAGAACCCCCAUAUUCCUUUCUGUGGGGCUGCUUUCCAACCUUUCAUCCCCUAGUCUCUACAUAUAUCCAUGGCUGCCCCAUCCCAGAGUCUCUCUGUUGCUGAGGGAGUAAACGGUUCCUCGUAAUUUAGUUGUAAGAGAAGGAUAUUUUAAAUGCGGAGAAGAGAAUCCAGGAUGUUGUCUCUAUCAGGAAACUAGAAAGGUCUGUCAAAAGAUCAUCUGUGAAGAGGAAAAAGGGCAACAUGUGUCAGGUUCGUGGUUAAAUGAACAGAGAAGAACAAAAAGAAAUGCUGGCCAAAUGCACGGAGGACACAUGAAAAUAUCUCUGGGGGGAGCUGUGGGUUUAACAGGUCCUUUUAGUCCAGAAGACCACAUGAAACCCACAUUGUCAUGGACCUACAGCCCCUCAUCUUAAUGUAUAAACCGAGUCAAGAUAUUUUGCUGCUAAUCAUAUCUCCCCCCAGGGACUGCAUCCUUUGUCAGUGAACACAGAUGAAUUGAAAAGCAAUUCAGGACUAGACAGAAUGCCUGUCAGUUUCUUCUCCAUUUUCCAAGCUCAAUUUCAGACAAAUAGUACCAUCAUGGUAUAGCAAGUACUCAACAGCAACACUUCAAGCCUCAGAAGAGAAGAGAAACAGAACUGACGGUAAGACCCUUAAUCAGGGUGCAUGAACAAGCAGUGAUUCAGUUUAUUCUUGUAGAGCUGUGCUGAGACAAAUAAAUCUUUCCAUAAAGCUACA